Non-coding RNA from Arachnomyces sp. PD_36, 103 nucleotides. Lineage: Eukaryota; Fungi; Ascomycota; Eurotiomycetes; Onygenales; Arachnomycetaceae. The record is from the annotation of a GenBank genome assembly.
GCCGGGCUAGCUCAAUCGGUAGAGCGUGUGGCUCUUAAAGACCUUUGAUUCGUUCAGAUUGUCUGCCACCACAAGGCUGCGAGUUCGAGCCUCGCGUUCGGCU